UAGGGUUUCAGCUGUGCCAGGGAGGGGUAGAGAUUGAGGGAGGGAGAGAGAUAGGAAGAAAGUGAGAAUCAGGUAGAGAGAAGGUGGAGAGAGUGUAAAAACAGAGAUGGAGUGGCAGAAAGGCUGGAAGACAGAACUAGGGGUGGGCUUGAGUCUGUAUUUCCCCCCUCCCCCAUCACCACACAAUGCAGAGAGCCAAACCACUAUCAGUGCUUUUGUCCAUACUCCCCCAUUAAAGUGAGAGGGCACAGAGAGGGGGAGAGGAGGAGGAGGGUGAAAAGAAGAGAGAGCUGAUGUUAAGUGUUAUCCUGAGGCGGCGUUGGUGGAAUUUUUCGAUGGGGUCCAGGCUUCCACACUGUAUAGCAGGGUAGGAAUGAUCGCACACACACACGCACACAAACUGUGGUGGAAAACUGUCCUAUACCCCCCUCCUUCUUAAUCACAUACGCGCAUGAAACUGAACAGGCAAAGAGCCUGGGUCUGUAUCAAACACAUGUAGAGCAGAAUAAGUCAAAGAGCAGUAAUUGGAUAGAGAUGUUUCGGAUGUUACUGAGACAGAAUCCUGGAAGUUUUCAGUACUGCAGUGACAGUGAGAGUGAGAGGGGAGGGAGGGAGAGGGAAUAGACAGAGCGAGGC
Molecule: long non-coding RNA, 636 nt
Filed under: Salmo salar (Atlantic salmon)
Lineage: Eukaryota; Metazoa; Chordata; Actinopteri; Salmoniformes; Salmonidae
Description: lncRNA (ENSSSAG00000108903.1, ENSSSAG00020080110.1)
Source: RNAcentral